GGGGCUAUAGCUCAGCUGGGAGAGCGCUGGCAUGGCAUGCAAGAGGUCGACGGUUCGAUCCCGUCUAGCUCCACCA
Molecule: transfer RNA, 76 nt
Filed under: Serratia liquefaciens
Lineage: Bacteria; Pseudomonadati; Pseudomonadota; Gammaproteobacteria; Enterobacterales; Yersiniaceae
Description: tRNA-Ala
Rfam family: tRNA
About the family: Transfer RNA (tRNA) molecules are approximately 80 nucleotides in length.
Source: RNAcentral